RNAcentral lists this ribosomal RNA (429 nucleotides) under Pseudomonadota bacterium. Its description in RNAcentral is "Proteobacteria bacterium partial 16S ribosomal RNA". It matches the Rfam family "Bacterial small subunit ribosomal RNA", at positions 355 to 776 of the family's 1533-position model. The record is from RNAcentral. Lineage: Bacteria; Pseudomonadati; Pseudomonadota.
UGGGGAAUAUUGGACAAUGGGCGAAAGCCUGAUCCAGCCAUGCCGCGUGUGUGAAGAAGGUCUUCGGAUUGUAAAGCACUUUAAGUUGGGAGGAAGGGCAGUAAGCGAAUACCUUGCUGUUUUGACGUUACCGACAGAAUAAGCACCGGCUAACUCUGUGCCAGCAGCCGCGGUAAUACAGAGGGUGCAAGCGUUAAUCGGAAUUACUGGGCGUAAAGCGCGCGUAGGUGGUUCGUUAAGUUGAAUGUGAAAGCCCCGGGCUCAACCUUGGAACUGCAUCCAAAACUGGCGAGCUAGAGUAGGGCAGGGGGUGGUGGAAUUUCCUGUGUAGCGGUGAAAUGCGUAGAUAUAGGAAGGAACACCAGUGGCGAAGGCGACCACCUGGGCUCAUACUGACCCUGAGGUGCGAAAGCGUGGGGAGCAAACAAG